This 314-nucleotide ribosomal RNA is filed under the name uncultured soil bacterium. Its description in RNAcentral is "bacterial SSU rRNA". It matches the Rfam family "Bacterial small subunit ribosomal RNA", at positions 26 to 351 of the family's 1533-position model. The record is from RNAcentral.
AGAUUGAACGCUGGCGGCAUGCCUAACACAUGCAAGUCGAACGGGAGGUAGCAAUACUCUAGUGGCGGACGGGUGAGGAAUACGUAGGAAUUUGCCCUUAAGUGGGGGAUAACCCGGGGAACCCGGAUUAAUACCGCAUGACCUCGAAAGAGCAAAGUGGGGGAUCGCAAGACCUCACGCUUUUGGAGAAGCCUACGUCGGAUUAGCUAGUUGGUGAGGUAAUGGCUCACCAAGGCGACGAUCCGUAACUGGUCUGAGAGGAUGAUCAGUCACACCGGAACUGAGACACGGUCCGGACUCCUACGGGAGGCACG